This 645-nucleotide ribosomal RNA is filed under the name uncultured Lachnospiraceae bacterium. RNAcentral describes it as "bacterial SSU rRNA". It matches the Rfam family "Bacterial small subunit ribosomal RNA", at positions 62 to 720 of the family's 1533-position model. The record is from RNAcentral. Lineage: Bacteria; Bacillati; Bacillota; Clostridia; Lachnospirales; Lachnospiraceae.
UUAUUUGAUUUUCUUCGGAACUGAAGAUUUGGUGAUUGAGUGGCGGACGGGUGAGUAACGCGUGGGUAACCUACCCUGUACAGGGGGAUAACAGUCAGAAAUGACUGCUAAUACCGCAUAAGACCACAGCACCGCAUGGUGCAGGGGUAAAAACUCCGGUGGUACAGGAUGGACCCGCGUCUGAUUAGCUGGUUGGUGAGGUAACGGCUCACCAAGGCGACGAUCAGUAGCCGGCUUGAGAGAGUGAACGGCCACAUUGGGACUGAGACACGGCCCAAACUCCUACGGGAGGCAGCAGUGGGGAAUAUUGCACAAUGGGGGAAACCCUGAUGCAGCGACGCCGCGUGAGUGAAGAAGUAUCUCGGUAUGUAAAGCUCUAUCAGCAGGGAAGAAAAUGACGGUACCUGACUAAGAAGCCCCGGCUAACUACGUGCCAGCAGCCGCGGUAAUACGUAGGGGGCAAGCGUUAUCCGGAAUUACUGGGUGUAAAGGGUGCGUAGGUGGUAUGGCAAGUCAGAAGUGAAACCCAGGGCUUAACUCUGGGACUGCUUUUGAAACUGUCAGACUGGAGUGCAGGAGAGGUAAGCGGAAUUCCUAGUGUAGCGGUGAAAUGCGUAGAUAUUAGGAGGAACAUCAGUGGCGAAG